Molecule: unclassified non-coding RNA, 156 nt
Filed under: Penicillium chrysogenum
Lineage: Eukaryota; Fungi; Ascomycota; Eurotiomycetes; Eurotiales; Aspergillaceae
Description: partial internal transcribed spacer 2
Source: RNAcentral
CUGCCCUCAAGCACGGCUUGUGUGUUGGGCCGCGUCCCCCCGGGGACGGGCCCGAAAGGCAGCGGCGGCACCGCGUCCGGUCCUCGAGCGUAUGGGGCUUUGUCACCCGCUCUUGCAGGCCCGGCCGGCGCCAGCCGACCCAACCAAUCUUUCUCA